RNAcentral lists this ribosomal RNA (466 nucleotides) under uncultured Desulfovibrio sp. RNAcentral describes it as "bacterial SSU rRNA". It matches the Rfam family "Bacterial small subunit ribosomal RNA", at positions 338 to 795 of the family's 1533-position model. The record is from RNAcentral. Lineage: Bacteria; Pseudomonadati; Thermodesulfobacteriota; Desulfovibrionia; Desulfovibrionales; Desulfovibrionaceae.
CCUACGGGCGGCUGCAGUGGGGAAUAUUGCGCAAUGGGCGAAAGCCUGACGCAGCGACGCCGCGUGAGGGAUGAAGGUCUUCGGAUCGUAAACCUCUGUCAAGAGGGAAGAAACCCUUGAGUUCGAACAGGACUCUUGGCUGACGGUACCUCAAAAGGAAGCACCGGCUAACUCCGUGCCAGCAGCCGCGGUAAUACGGAGGGUGCAAGCGUUAAUCGGAAUCACUGGGCGUAAAGCGCUCGUAGGCGGCAUGGUCAGUCAGACGUGAAAUCCCGUGGCUUAACCGCGGAACUGCGUUUGAUACUGCCAGGCUUGAGUGUCGGAGAGGGUGGCGGAAUUCCGGGUGUAGGAGUGAAAUCCGUAGAUAUCCGGAGGAACACCAGUGGCGAAGGCGGCCACCUGGACGACAACUGACGCUGAGGAGCGAAAGCGUGGGGAGCAAACAGGAUUAGAUACCCCGGUAGUC